GACUGAAAUUGUAGACAAUACGAAAUAGUUAGUGGCGAACGGGUGCGUANNANCGUGGGCANNUGCCGGAAAGUGGGGGAUAACUCGUCGAAAGGCGAUAAUACCGCAUGUGGCCAGGUAAGGCAUCUUACCGAAGACCAAAGCUGGGGCAACCUGGCGACUUUCCGAUGAGCUCGCGUCCUAUCAGCUAGUUGGUGAGGUAACGGCUCACCAAGGCUAUGACGGGUAGCUGGUCUGAGAGGACGACCAGCCACACUGGAACUGAGACACGGUCCAGACACCUACGGGUGGCAGCAGUCGAGAAUUUUUCUCAAUGGGGGAAACCCUGAAGGAGCGACGCCGCGUGGAGGAUGAAGGUUUUCGGAUUGUAAACUCCCUGU
RNAcentral lists this ribosomal RNA (380 nucleotides) under uncultured bacterium. RNAcentral describes it as "bacterial SSU rRNA". It matches the Rfam family "Bacterial small subunit ribosomal RNA", at positions 68 to 437 of the family's 1533-position model. The record is from RNAcentral.